AUGGUGGCGUGCUUGAGGAUCUGGUUGCUGAACUGCCCGGGCUUCUCGGUGGUGUCGAUCUUGUCCUGCCCCGGCGGCGGCAGCAGCUGGAAGUUCUGCACGAGGCGCCCGAGCGUGAUGCCGAUGAUGGGCAGCGCGAGGAUGAUCCCUGGGCAGCUCCGGCGGCCGACGCCGAAGGGCACGAACCGGAAGUCGUUGCCGUGGGCCUCGACGGCCUUCUCCUCCUCGAGGAAGCGCUCGGGCCUGAACUCGUCGGCGCGCACCCACCGCUUGGGGUCGUUGGCGAGGAACCAGGCGUUGACGAGGAUCUUGGACUCGGCGGGGAUGUCGUAG
This 333-nucleotide ribosomal RNA is filed under the name Triticum aestivum (bread wheat). RNAcentral's name for it is "partial small subunit ribosomal RNA". The record is from RNAcentral. Lineage: Eukaryota; Viridiplantae; Streptophyta; Magnoliopsida; Poales; Poaceae.